RNAcentral lists this ribosomal RNA (305 nucleotides) under Bacillus pumilus. RNAcentral describes it as "bacterial SSU rRNA". It matches the Rfam family "Bacterial small subunit ribosomal RNA", at positions 1046 to 1352 of the family's 1533-position model. The record is from RNAcentral. Lineage: Bacteria; Bacillati; Bacillota; Bacilli; Caryophanales; Bacillaceae.
UGGUUGUCGUCAGCUCGUGUCGUGAGAUGUUGGGUUAAGUCCCGCAACGAGCGCAACCCUUGAUCUUAGUUGCCAGCAUUUAGUUGGGCACUCUAAGGUGACUGCCGGUGACAAACCGGAGGAAGGUGGGGAUGACGUCAAAUCAUCAUGCCCCUUAUGACCUGGGCUACACACGUGCUACAAUGGACAGAACAAAGGGCUGCGAGACCGCAAGGUUUAGCCAAUCCCACAAAUCUGUUCUCAGUUCGGAUCGCAGUCUGCAACUCGACUGCGUGAAGCUGGAAUCGCUAGUAAUCGCGGAUCAG